GGAAGAAACAAAUGACGGUACCAUUAUUAAGCCCCGGCUAACUCCGUGCCAGCAGCCGCGGUAAUACGGAGGGGGCAAGCGUUGUUCGGAUUUACUGGGCGUAAAGGGCGCGUAGGCGGUUUUGUAAGUUACUUGUGAAAUCUAUGGGCUUAACCCAUAACUGCCAAGUAAUACUGCGAGACUCGAGUGCAGAAGGGGCAACUGGAAUUCUUGGUGUAGCGGUGAAAUGCGUAGAUAUCAAGAGGAACACCUGAGGCGAAGGCGGGUUGCUGGGCUGACACUGACGCUGAGGCGCGAAAGCUAGGGGAGCAAACAGGAUUAGAUACCCUGGUAGUCCUAGCCUUAAACGAUGGAUGCUUGGUGUCUGGGGUUUUAUAGUCCCCGGGUGCCGUCGCUAACGCUUUAAGCAUUCCGCCUGGGGAGUACGGUCGCAAGACUGAAACUCAAAGGAAUUGACGGGGACCCGCACAAGCGGUGGAGCAUGUGGUUUAAUUCGACGCAACGCGAAGAACCUUACCUGGGCUAGAAUGCUCCGGACAGCCCCAGAGAUGGGGUCUUCUGGGUAACACCAGACCGGAUGCAAGGUGCUGCAUGGCUGUCGUCAGCUCGUGUCGUGAGAU
This 620-nucleotide ribosomal RNA is filed under the name uncultured Acidobacteriota bacterium. Its description in RNAcentral is "bacterial SSU rRNA". It matches the Rfam family "Bacterial small subunit ribosomal RNA", at positions 443 to 1073 of the family's 1533-position model. Lineage: Bacteria; Pseudomonadati; Acidobacteriota. The record is from RNAcentral.